Molecule: ribosomal RNA, 406 nt
Filed under: uncultured bacterium
Lineage: Bacteria
Description: partial 16S ribosomal RNA
Rfam family: Bacterial small subunit ribosomal RNA
Source: RNAcentral
GAUGAACGCUAGCUACAGGCUUAACACAUGCAAGUCGAGGGACCGGCGCACGGGUGAGUAACACGUAUCCAACCUGCCCUUUACUCGGGGCUAGCCUUUCGAAAGAAAGAUUAAUACCCGAUAUAAAGGAUGGGGAUGCGUUCCAUUAGGUUGUUGGUGAGGUAACGGCCCACCAAGCCUUCGAUGGAUAGGGGUUCGGAGAGGAAGGUCACCCACAUUGGAACUGAGACACGGUCCAAACGCCUAGGGGAGGCAGCAGUGAGGAAUAUUGGUCAAUGGGCGUUAGCCUGAACCAGCCAAGUAGCGAGAAGGAUGAAGGCUUAUGGGUCGUAAACUUCUUUUAUAUAAGAAUAUGUAUUAGAUGAAUAAGGAUCGGCUAACUCCGUGCCAGCAGCCGCGGUAAUUC